RNAcentral lists this ribosomal RNA (827 nucleotides) under uncultured marine archaeon. RNAcentral's name for it is "partial 16S ribosomal RNA". It matches the Rfam family "Archaeal small subunit ribosomal RNA", at positions 32 to 869 of the family's 1478-position model. The record is from RNAcentral.
AAAAAAUUGGAUGAUACUAGCCAUGCGAGUCAUUGUAGUAAUACAAGGCAGACGGCUCAGUAACGCGUCCUUUAAUAACCUAUGGACGGGAAUAACCUCGGGAAACUGACUUAAUGAGAGAUAGAACAUUAUGCAUGGAAUGGUUUAUGUUCCAAAUGAUUUAUAGUCGUAGGAUGGGAGUGCCCCCUAUCAGUUUGUUGGUGAGGUAAUGGCCCAACAAGACUAUUAAGGGUACGGGCUCUGAGAGGAGUAGCCGGGAAAUGGGUACUGAGACAACGACCCAGGCCUAUUGGGGCGAACCAAAGAAAAAAAUUUUGCAUGGGGGAAAAACCCGACAAGGUUAAUCCGAAUGGGUUUUCGUUAAAGGAACUUUUGGUCGUCCUUAAAAAACCCAAUAAAAAAGGGGGGGUUUUUUUUGGGGGCAACCCGCCCGGGAAAAACGGCACCUUAAGUGGUCAGGAUGAUUAUUGGGGCUAAAGCAUCCGUAGCCCGCUCUGUUUGUUUUCGGGUUAAUCUGUACGCUCCACGUACAGGGUGCCGGGAAUACUGCAGAAAUUGGGAGUGGGAGAGGUAGACGGCACUCGGUAGGAAAGGGUAAAAUCCUUUGAUCUAUUGAUGAACACCUGUGGGGGAAGCGGUCUACCACAAAAAGUCCCAAAGUGAGGGAAGAAAGCUGGGGGAACAAACCGGAUUUAAAACCCGGGGAGUUCCCGCUGGAAACAUGGCAACUCACUGAAGGAUUGGCUUGGGGCCAUGCAGUGCUGCAGGGAAGCCGUUAGUUUGCCGCCUGGGAGUACGUUCGCAAGUAUGAAAUUAAUGAAUUGGAC